UACAGAGGUCUCAAGCGUUGUUCGGAUUCAUUGGGCGUAAAGGGUGCGUAGGCGGCUUAUUAAGUCAGUGGUGAAAGCCCCAAGCUUAACUUGGGAACUGCCAUUGAUACUGAUGAGCUUGAGUAGAUUUGAGGCGGGCGGAAUGUGUCGUGUAGCGGUGAAAUGCUUAGAUAUGACACAGAACACCAAUUGCGUAGGCAGCUCGCUAAACUCUUACUGACGCUGAGGCACGAAAGCAUGGGGAUCAAACAGG
This 253-nucleotide ribosomal RNA is filed under the name uncultured bacterium. RNAcentral's name for it is "partial 16S ribosomal RNA". It matches the Rfam family "Bacterial small subunit ribosomal RNA", at positions 524 to 776 of the family's 1533-position model. The record is from RNAcentral.